GAACGAGGGCCAAGGAGCUUGCUCCUUNUAACCGAGUGGCGAACGGGUGAGUAACACGUGACCAACCUGUCCUAGGGCGGGGGACAACCUGGGGAAACCCGGUGCUAAUACCGCAUGAUGUCCGGAUCUCGCAUGGGGACCGGAUCAAAGAGGGCCUCUGCUUGCAAGCUCUCACCCAAGGAGGGGGUCGCGACGUAUCAGCUUGUUGGUGGGGUAACGGCCUACCAAGGCUACGACGCGUAGUGGGUCUGAGAGGACGACCCGCCACAUUGGGACUGAGAUACGGCCCAGACUCCUACGGGAGGCAGCAGUGAGGAAUUUUGCACAAUGGGGGCAACCCUGAUGCAGCGACGCCGCGUGAGUGAUGAAGGUCUUCGGAUCGUAAAGCUCUGUCAGCAGGGAAGAACUGUCAUGCAGCUAAUAACUGUGUGAUUUGACGGUACCUGCAAAGGAAGCACCGGCUAACUCCGUG
This 472-nucleotide ribosomal RNA is filed under the name uncultured bacterium. RNAcentral describes it as "bacterial SSU rRNA". It matches the Rfam family "Bacterial small subunit ribosomal RNA", at positions 64 to 507 of the family's 1533-position model. The record is from RNAcentral.